This 469-nucleotide ribosomal RNA is filed under the name uncultured bacterium. RNAcentral describes it as "partial 16S ribosomal RNA". It matches the Rfam family "Bacterial small subunit ribosomal RNA", at positions 28 to 507 of the family's 1533-position model. The record is from RNAcentral.
GACGAACGCUGGCGGCGUGCUUAACACAUGCAAGUCGAACGCUGAAGCUUGGUGCUUGCACUGGGUGGAUGAGUGGCGAACGGGUGAGUAAUACGUGAGUAACCUGCCCUUGACUCUGGGAUAAGCCUGGGAAACUGGGUCUAAUACUGGAUACGACAUGUCACCGCAUGGUGGUGUGUGGAAAGGGUUUUACUGGUUUUGGAUGGGCUCACGGCCUAUCAGCUUGUUGGUGGGGUAAUGGCUCACCAAGGCGACGACGGGUAGCCGGCCUGAGGGUGACCGGCCACACUGGGACUGAGACACGGCCAGACUCCUACGGGAGGCAGCAGUGGGGAAUAUUGCACAAUGGGCGGAAGCCUGAUGCAGCGACGCCGCGUGAGGGAUGACGGCCUUCGGGUUGUAAACCUCUUUCAGCACGGAAGAAGCGAAAGUGACGGUACGUGCAGAAGAAGCGCCGGCUAACUACGUG